Molecule: transfer RNA, 73 nt
Filed under: Canis lupus familiaris (dog)
Lineage: Eukaryota; Metazoa; Chordata; Mammalia; Carnivora; Canidae
Also listed under: 1 other name
Rfam family: tRNA
About the family: Transfer RNA (tRNA) molecules are approximately 80 nucleotides in length. Their secondary structure includes four short double-helical elements and three loops (D, anti-codon, and T loops).
Source: Rfam by way of RNAcentral
GCCUGGAUGGCUCAGUCAGAAGAGUGUGAGAUUCUUGAUCUCAGAGUUGUGAGUUCAAGCCCCACGUUGGGUG